This 926-nucleotide ribosomal RNA is filed under the name uncultured bacterium. RNAcentral's name for it is "bacterial SSU rRNA". It matches the Rfam family "Bacterial small subunit ribosomal RNA", at positions 70 to 990 of the family's 1533-position model. The record is from RNAcentral.
CAUUUCUAGCUUGCUAGAAGAUGACGAGCGGCGGACGGGUGAGUAAUACUUGGGGAUCUGCCUGAUGGCGGGGGACAACCACUGGAAAUGGUGGCUAAUACCGCAUAAUGCCUACGGGCCAAAGUGUGGGACCUUCGGGCCACAUGCCAUCAGAUGAACCCAAGCGAGAUUAGCUAGUUGGUGAGGUAAUGGCUCACCAAGGCGACGAUCUCUAGCUGUUCUGAGAGGAUGAUCAGCCACACUGGGACUGAGACACGGCCCAGACUCCUACGGGAGGCAGCAGUGGGGAAUAUUGGACAAUGGGCGCAAGCCUGAUCCAGCCAUGCCGCGUGUGUGAAGAAGGCCUUCGGGUUGUAAAGCACUUUCAGUGGUGAGGAAGGCCUUGUAGUUAAUAGCUGCAAGGAUUGACGUUAGCCACAGAAGAAGCACCGGCUAACUCCGUGCCAGCAGCCGCGGUAAUACGGAGGGUGCGAGCGUUAAUCGGAAUUACUGGGCGUAAAGCGCACGUAGGCGGUUUGUUAAGCAAGAUGUGAAAGCCCAGGGCUCAACCUUGGAAUAGCAUUUUGAACUGGCAAGCUAGAGUUUUGAAGAGGGUGGUAGAAUUUCCAGUGUAGCGGUGAAAUGCGUAGAUAUUGGAAGGAAUACCAGUGGCGAAGGCGGCCACCUGGUCAAAAACUGACGCUGAGGAGCGAAAGCGUGGGGAGCAAACAGGAUUAGAUACCCUGGUAGUCCACGCCGUAAACGAUGUCAACUAGUUGUUCGUGUCUUUAAGACGUGAGUAACGCAGCUAACGCACUAAGUUGACCGCCUGGGGAGUACGGCCGCAAGGUUAAAACUCAAAUGAAUUGACGGGGGCCCGCACAAGCGGUGGAGCAUGUGGUUUAAUUCGAUGCAACGCGAAGAACCUUACCAUCCCUUGACAUCCA